Molecule: unclassified non-coding RNA, 361 nt
Filed under: Hevea brasiliensis (rubber tree)
Lineage: Eukaryota; Viridiplantae; Streptophyta; Magnoliopsida; Malpighiales; Euphorbiaceae
Source: RNAcentral
AAACAUAAUAAAAAUAAAAUAAAAUAACAAUAAAAGUCGGCUUAAAGAAAUAGAACAAAAGAACUGAAGAGAAUCUGUAGCUUUGAUCUUGUGGAACUUCAAUUGAAGGCUCCUCCUUGAUACUGAUGUCCUCCUCCUCUAGACAGCUGUGAGAAAGUGAUUAUACAGCUCUGGGAUUUCCUCUCUCUCCUCUUCUUUUUCUGUUAUCUGCAGCCUCUAUUUAUAUUAAAUGGCCUAGGAUUAGAUUUUCAGAGUCCCUAAGGCAUUAAAAGUAUGUUUUAAGUGUAAAAGAAUGGAGCUGAAAUCAAAUUAGGAAGCUGACUGCUGCACGAUACAUGGCCCAGGGCCGUGUAACUUACUG